This 1444-nucleotide ribosomal RNA is filed under the name Escherichia coli. RNAcentral describes it as "partial 23S ribosomal RNA". It matches the Rfam family "Bacterial large subunit ribosomal RNA", at positions 1497 to 2916 of the family's 2925-position model. Lineage: Bacteria; Pseudomonadati; Pseudomonadota; Gammaproteobacteria; Enterobacterales; Enterobacteriaceae. The record is from RNAcentral.
GACGGUUGUCCCGGUUUAAGCGUGUAGGCUGGUUUUCCAGGCAAAUCCGGAAAAUCAAGGCUGAGGCGUGAUGACGAGGCACUACGGUGCUGAAGCAACAAAUGCCCUGCUUCCAGGAAAAGCCUCUAAGCAUCAGGUAACAUCAAAUCGUACCCCAAACCGACACAGGUGGUCAGGUAGAGAAUACCAAGGCGCUUGAGAGAACUCGGGUGAAGGAACUAGGCAAAAUGGUGCCGUAACUUCGGGAGAAGGCACGCUGAUAUGUAGGUGAAGUCCCUCGCGGAUGGAGCUGAAAUCAGUCGAAGAUACCAGCUGGCUGCAACUGUUUAUUAAAAACACAGCACUGUGCAAACACGAAAGUGGACGUAUACGGUGUGACGCCUGCCCGGUGCCGGAAGGUUAAUUGAUGGGGUCAGCGCAAGCGAAGCUCUUGAUCGAAGCCCCGGUAAACGGCGGCCGUAACUAUAACGGUCCUAAGGUAGCGAAAUUCCUUGUCGGGUAAGUUCCGACCUGCACGAAUGGCGUAAUGAUGGCCAGGCUGUCUCCACCCGAGACUCAGUGAAAUUGAACUCGCUGUGAAGAUGCAGUGUACCCGCGGCAAGACGGAAAGACCCCGUGAACCUUUACUAUAGCUUGACACUGAACAUUGAGCCUUGAUGUGUAGGAUAGGUGGGAGGCUUUGAAGUGUGGACGCCAGUCUGCAUGGAGCCGACCUUGAAAUACCACCCUUUAAUGUUUGAUGUUCUAACGUUGACCCGUGAUCCGGGUUGCGGACAGUGUCUGGUGGGUAGUUUGACUGGGGCGGUCUCCUCCUAAAGAGUAACGGAGGAGCACGAAGGUUGGCUAAUCCUGGUCGGACAUCAGGAGGUUAGUGCAAUGGCAUAAGCCAGCUUGACUGCGAGCGUGACGGCGCGAGCAGGUGCGAAAGCAGGUCAUAGUGAUCCGGUGGUUCUGAAUGGAAGGGCCAUCGCUCAACGGAUAAAAGGUACUCCGGGGAUAACAGGCUGAUACCGCCCAAGAGUUCAUAUCGACGGCGGUGUUUGGCACCUCGAUGUCGGCUCAUCACAUCCUGGGGCUGAAGUAGGUCCCAAGGGUAUGGCUGUUCGCCAUUUAAAGUGGUACGCGAGCUGGGUUUAGAACGUCGUGAGACAGUUCGGUCCCUAUCUGCCGUGGGCGCUGGAGAACUGAGGGGGGCUGCUCCUAGUACGAGAGGACCGGAGUGGACGCAUCACUGGUGUUCGGGUUGUCAUGCCAAUGGCACUGCCCGGUAGCUAAAUGCGGAAGAGAUAAGUGCUGAAAGCAUCUAAGCACGAAACUUGCCCCGAGAUGAGUUCUCCCUGACCCUUUAAGGGUCCUGAAGGAACGUUGAAGACGACGACGUUGAUAGGCCGGGUGUGUAAGCGCAGCGAUGCGUUGAGCUAACCGGUACUAAUGAACCGUGAGG